This 412-nucleotide ribosomal RNA is filed under the name Scolopendra canidens. Its description in RNAcentral is "LSU rRNA". The stretch from base 66 to 412 matches the Rfam family "Bacterial large subunit ribosomal RNA", at positions 2049 to 2617 of the family's 2925-position model. Lineage: Eukaryota; Metazoa; Arthropoda; Chilopoda; Scolopendromorpha; Scolopendridae. The record is from RNAcentral.
UUGUAGUCUGGAANGAAAGGUUCGACGGAUAAUUUCUUUAUUUUAAAUAAAAUUGAACUUAAAUAAUUAGUAAAAAUGCUAAUGUAUGAUAGAGGGACGAGAAGACCCUAUUAAGUUUUACAUAAUAAGAAAUAUUGAUUUAGUAGGCUUAUGUUCUUAUUGAUGUUUGAUUGGGGCAAUCUUAAACAAUAAAUGUUUAAUAUAUUUACUAUACAUAAGUUAUUGACGAUCCAAUAAUAUUGAUUGUUGGAAUAAAUUACUAUAGGGAUAACAGCGUAAUAUAUCUGGAGAGUUCAUAUUGAUGGAUUAUGUUUGCGACCUCGAUGUUGAAUUAGGAUUCUCUGAAGGCGCAGGAGCUUUAUAUGAGUGGUCUGUUCGACCAUUAAAUUCCUACGUGAUCUGAGUUCAGACC